RNAcentral lists this ribosomal RNA (492 nucleotides) under uncultured bacterium. Its description in RNAcentral is "partial 16S ribosomal RNA". It matches the Rfam family "Bacterial small subunit ribosomal RNA", at positions 29 to 507 of the family's 1533-position model. The record is from RNAcentral.
AGUGAACGCUGGCGGUAGGCCUAACACAUGCAAGUCGAACGGCCGCACAGUAAGAGCUUGCUCUUACUGUUGGCGAGUGGCGGACGGGUGAGGAAUACAUCGGAAUCUUCUUUUUCGUGGGGGAUUACGUAGGGCAACUUACGCUACUACCUCAUACUUCCUACGGGUUAAAUCAGGGGAUCUUCGCACCUUGCCCGUUUCAAUUAGCCGAUGUCGCAUUAGCUAGUUGGCGUGGUAAAGGCCCACCAAGGCGACGAUCCGUAGCUGGUCUGAGAGGAUGAUCAGCCACACUGGAACUGAGACACGGUCCAGACUCCUACGGGAGGCAGCAGUGGGGAAUAUUGGACAAUGGGCGAAAGCCUGAUCCAGCAAUACCGCGUGGGUGAAGAAGGCCUUCGGGUUGUAAAGCCCUGUUGUUGGGAAAGAAAAGAAGCAGGUGAAAACCCCGAUGUUCUGACGGUACCCAAAGAAUAAGCACCGGCUAACUUCGUG